This 484-nucleotide ribosomal RNA is filed under the name uncultured bacterium. RNAcentral describes it as "partial 16S ribosomal RNA". It matches the Rfam family "Bacterial small subunit ribosomal RNA", at positions 30 to 507 of the family's 1533-position model. The record is from RNAcentral.
AUUGAACGCUGGCGGAAUGCUUUACACAUGCAAGUCGAACGGCAGCACGGGGGCAGCCCUGGUGGCGAGUGGCGAACGGGUGAGUAAUACAUCGGAACGUGCCCGGUCGAGGGGGCUAACGUAGCGAAAGUUACGCUAAUACCGCAUACGAUCUGAGGAUGAAAGCGGGGGACCUUCGGGCCUCGCGCGAUCGGAGCGGCCGAUGUCAGAUUAGGUAGUUGGUGGGGUAAAGGCCUACCAAGCCGACGAUCUGUAGCUGGUCUGAGAGGACGACCAGCCACACUGGGACUGAGACACGGCCCAGACUCCUACGGGAGGCAGCAGUGGGGAAUUUUGGACAAUGGGCGCAAGCCUGAUCCAGCCAUUCCGCGUGCAGGACGAAGGCCUUCGGGUUGUAAACUGCUUUUGUACGGAACGAAAAGGCUCUGGCUAAUACCUGGGGCUCAUGACGGUACCGUAAGAAUAAGCACCGGCUAACUACGUG